Molecule: ribosomal RNA, 384 nt
Filed under: uncultured soil bacterium
Lineage: Bacteria
Description: bacterial SSU rRNA
Rfam family: Bacterial small subunit ribosomal RNA
Source: RNAcentral
AGAACGAACGCUGGCGGCAUGCCUAACACAUGCAAGUCGAACGAGACCUUCGGGUCUAGUGGCGCACGGGUGCGUAACGCGUGGGAAUCUGCCCUUGGGUUCGGAAUAACAGCGAGAAAUUGCUGCUAAUACCGGAUGAUGACGUAAGUCCAAAGAUUUAUCGCCAAGGGAUGAGCCCGCGUAGGAUUAGCUAGUUGGUGAGGUAAUGGCUCACCAAGGCGACGAUCCGUAACUGGUCUGAGAGGAUGAUCAGUCACACCGGAACUGAGACACGGUCCGGACUCCUACGGGAGGCAGCAGUGGGGAAUAUUGGACAAUGGGCGCAAGCCUGAUCCAGCAAUGCCGCGUGUGUGAAGAAGGCCUUCGGGUUGUAAGCACUUUAAG